Molecule: ribosomal RNA, 865 nt
Filed under: uncultured Neocallimastigales
Lineage: Eukaryota; Fungi; Neocallimastigomycota; Neocallimastigomycetes; Neocallimastigales
Description: partial large subunit ribosomal RNA
Rfam family: Eukaryotic large subunit ribosomal RNA
Source: RNAcentral
UAUGUGAUCGUCUCUCGCAUAUCAAUAAGCGGAGGAAAAGAAACUAACAAGGAUUCCCCUAGUAACGGCGAGUGAAGCGGGAAGAGCUCAAAUUUGAAAUCUUAAAGGGUUUCCCUUUACGAAUUGUAGUUUAAAGAAGUGUUUUCUGUUGAGGUUUUGGUAAAAGUUCUUUGGAAUAGGACAUCAUAGAGGGUGAGAAUCCCGUAUUUGACCUUUACUUUCAACUUUGUGAUACACUUUCAAAGAGUCGGAUUGUUUGGGAAUGCAGUCCAAAAUGGGUGGUAAAUUUCAUCUAAAGCUAAAUAUUGGCGAGAGACCGAUAGCGAACAAGUACCGUGAGGGAAAGAUGAAAAGAACUUUGAAAAGAGAGUUAAACAGUACGUGAAAUUGUCAAAAGGGAAGCGUUUGACACCAGUGUUGUUUUUCUGAAAAUCAAUUAAAGAACUGUUUAUGCUAAGUUGUUUAGACUUUAUCAGCUAACUGUUUAGUUUUGAGCUUUUCUUUAAUGCACUUUUCAGUUAACAAGUCAACAUCAAUUUCUUUUGCUGUAAAAAAGCUUGAGGAAGGUGGCUUGAGAUUCGUCUUAAGUGUUUAUAGCCUCUUGCCUAUGCAGUCGGAGAGAUUGAGGUCUGCAGCGUAGAUCCUUCGGGGCUAAAUGCAUUUGUGCUAAGUUAUAGCAUUUUAUAGACAACUUGUUGACUAUGAUUUGUCUUGUAGCUUACUCGCUUAUGUUAUUUUACCUACGCUUAGGAUGUUGACACACGCGCGUGCUCGAUGAUAGUCUAUACAUGACUCUGUGCAUAUCAAUAAGCGGAGGAAAGAGGUCACUACCUACGCUUAGGAUGUUGACACACGCGCGUGCUCG